CGAUGUGAUGAUGGGCAAAACGUUCAACUGCUCUGAACUGACUAUAUGAAACUAGCCUUUCUAAACAACC
Molecule: small nucleolar RNA, 70 nt
Organism: Jaculus jaculus (lesser Egyptian jerboa)
Lineage: Eukaryota; Metazoa; Chordata; Mammalia; Rodentia; Dipodidae
Product: small nucleolar RNA Z40
Exons: 1
Source: RefSeq, a predicted model, not a curated record